GGAUUAGAUACCCUGGUAGUCCACGCUGUAAACGAUGAUUACUCGUUUUCGGCGAUAUACAGUCGGAGACUAAGCGAAAGUGAUAAGUAAUCCACCUGGGGAGUACGAUCGCAAGGUUGAAACUCAAAGGAAUUGACGGGGGCCCGCACAAGCGGUGGAGCAUGUGGUUUAAUUCGAUGAUACGCGAGGAACCUUACCAGGGCUUAAAUGCAAGUUGAAUGAUGUGGAAACAUGUCAGUCUUCGGACAAUUUGCAAGGUGCUGCAUGGCUGUCGUCAGCUCGUGCC
RNAcentral lists this ribosomal RNA (286 nucleotides) under uncultured bacterium. RNAcentral describes it as "partial 16S ribosomal RNA". It matches the Rfam family "Bacterial small subunit ribosomal RNA", at positions 775 to 1066 of the family's 1533-position model. The record is from RNAcentral.